Molecule: ribosomal RNA, 797 nt
Filed under: Savoryella chiangraiensis
Lineage: Eukaryota; Fungi; Ascomycota; Sordariomycetes; Savoryellales; Savoryellaceae
Description: Savoryella sp. DB-2023b partial large subunit ribosomal RNA
Rfam family: Eukaryotic large subunit ribosomal RNA
Source: RNAcentral
CGAGUGAAGCGGCAACAGCCCAGAUUUGAAAUCCGGCCCCAGGCCCGAGUUGUAAUCUGCAGAUGGCUCUUCCGGCAAGGCGCGCGCCCGAGUUCCCUGGAAUGGGACGCCUUAGAGGGUGAGAGCCCCGUACAGGCGCCGCGCCGAGCCUCCACGAUGGCCAUUCGACGAGUCGAGUAGUUUGGAAAUGCUGCUCUAAUCGCGGGGUAAAUCUCCCGUAAGGCUAAAUACCGGCCGGAGACCGAUAGCGAACAAGUAGCGUGAGCGAAAGAUGAAAAGAGCCUUGGAUAAGGGCGUCAAAAAGCAUGUGAAAUUGCUAUGGGGGAAGCGCUCGUCGCCAGACGCGGCGGCGGCCGGUUACCCGGCGUUCUCGCCGGCGCACUCGGACCGCCGCCGGGCCAGUACCGGCUGGCCGCGCGGCUUACUGCCACGGGGAACGUGCCUCCUCUCGGGGAGGGUUAUAGCCCCGCGGAGACGCCGCGCGGCCGGCCGAGGACCGCGCGUAAGCGAGGGUACUGGCGUAAUGGCGCCCAGCGACCCGUCUUGAAACACGGACCAAGGAGUUGACCUGCCCUGCGAGUGUACGGGUGCAAAGCCCCUACGCGCAGUGAAAGCGAACGCUGGUGGGAGCCCUCGGGCGCACCAUCGACCGAUCCCGAAGUUCGCGGAAGGAUUUGAGUAGGAGCGGGGCGGGUCUGACCCGAAAGAAGGUGAACUAUGCAUGAAUAGGGUGAAGCCAGAGGAAACUCUGGUGGAGGCUCGCAGCGGUUCUGACGUGCAAAUCGAUCGUCAAAUUU